AUUGAACGCUGGCGGCAGGCCUAACACAUGCAAGUCGAACGAGUGGCGGACGGGAGAGUAAUGGCUGGGAAACUGCCCGAGGGAGGGGGAUCACUACUGGAAACUGUAGCUAAUACCGCAUACCAUCGGAUGUGCCCAGAUGGGAUUAGCGAGUAGGUGGGGUAAAGGCUCACCUAGGCGACGAUCCCUAGCUGGUCUCAGAGGAUGACCAGCCACACUGGAACUGAGAUACGGUCCAGACGCCUACGGGAGGCAGCAGUGGGGAAUAUUGGACAAUGGGCGCAAGCCUGAUGCAGCCAUGCCGCGGGUAUGAAGAAGGCCUUCGGGUGGUAAAGUACUUGCAGCGAGGAGGCGUUACUCGCAGAAGAAGCAUCGGCUAACUCCGUGCCAGCCGCCGCGGUAAUAC
This 406-nucleotide ribosomal RNA is filed under the name uncultured bacterium. RNAcentral describes it as "partial 16S ribosomal RNA". It matches the Rfam family "Bacterial small subunit ribosomal RNA", at positions 29 to 526 of the family's 1533-position model. The record is from RNAcentral.